Molecule: unclassified non-coding RNA, 390 nt
Filed under: soil metagenome
Description: partial contains 5.8S ribosomal RNA, internal transcribed spacer 2, and large subunit ribosomal RNA
Rfam family: 5.8S ribosomal RNA (bases 1-122)
Source: RNAcentral
GAUGAAGAACGUAGCGAAAUGCGAUACUUGGUGUGAAUUGCAGAAUCCCGUGAACCAUCGAGUCUUUGAACGCAAGUUGCGCCCGAAGCCAUUAGGCCGAGGGCACGCCUGCCUGGGCGUCACACGUCGUUGCCCCCCCAUCUACUCCUUCGGGAUUGCGGGGGGCGGAUGAUGGCCUCUCGUGCGCCUCGUCGCGCGGUUGACCUAAAUGCCAAGUCCUCGGCGACGCACGCCACGACAAUCGGUGGUUGCGAAACCUCGGUUGCCCGUCGUGUGCGUUCGUCGCGCAUCGAGGGCUCGAAAAAAUGCUCGGCUCCGGCUCGGCUUUCAACGCGACCCCAGGUCAGGCGGGGUUACCCGCUGAAUUUAAGCAUAUCAAUAAGCGGAGGA